GUUGCUUAGUGAUCAGAGCAUUGGCGGGUAAGCCAAAGUUCCGGGUUCGAUUCCCGGC
This 58-nucleotide transfer RNA is filed under the name Agrilus planipennis (emerald ash borer). It matches the Rfam family "tRNA", at positions 7 to 64 of the family's 71-position model. Rfam says of the family: Transfer RNA (tRNA) molecules are approximately 80 nucleotides in length. Their secondary structure includes four short double-helical elements and three loops (D, anti-codon, and T loops). Further hydrogen bonds mediate the characteristic L-shaped molecular structure. tRNAs have two regions of fundamental functional importance: the anti-codon, which is responsible for specific mRNA codon recognition, and the 3' end, to which the tRNAs corresponding amino acid is attached (by aminoacyl-tRNA synthetases). tRNAs cope with the degeneracy of the genetic code in two manners: having more than one tRNA (with a specific anti-codon) for a particular amino acid; and 'wobble' base-pairing, i.e. permitting non-standard base-pairing at the 3rd anti-codon position. The record is from Rfam by way of RNAcentral. Lineage: Eukaryota; Metazoa; Arthropoda; Insecta; Coleoptera; Buprestidae.